UGGGGAAUAUUGCACAAUGGGGGAAACCCUGAUGCAGCGACGCCGCGUGAACGAAGAAGGUAUUCGUAUCGUAAAGUUCUGUCCUAUGGGAAGAUAAUGACAGUACCAUAGAAGAAAGCUCCGGCUAAAUAUGUGCCAGCAGCCGCGGUAAUACGUAUGGAGCGAGCGUUGUCCGGAAUUAUUGGGCGUAAAGGGUACGCAGGCGGUUUAAUAAGUCGAAUGUUAAAGAUCGGGGCUCAACCCCGCAAAGCAUUGGAAACUGAUAAACUUGAGUAGUGGAGAGGAAAGUGGAAUUCCUAGUGUAGUGGUGAAAUACGUAGAUAUUAGGAGGAAUACCAGUAGCGAAGGCGACUUUCUGGACACAAACUGACGCUGAGGUACGAAGGCGUGGGGAGCAAACCGG
RNAcentral lists this ribosomal RNA (403 nucleotides) under bacterium. Its description in RNAcentral is "partial 16S ribosomal RNA". It matches the Rfam family "Bacterial small subunit ribosomal RNA", at positions 355 to 776 of the family's 1533-position model. The record is from RNAcentral.